CAAAGGAAUUGACGGGGGCCCGCACAAGCGGAGGAACAUGUGGUUUAAUUCGAUGAUACGCGAGGAACCUUACCUGGGCUUAAAUGUAGAGUGCAUAGGGUAGAAAUAUCCUUUUCCUUCGGGACUCUUUGCAAGGUGCUGCAUGGUUGUCGUCAGCUCGUGCCGUGAGGUGUCGGGUUAAGUCCCAUAACGAGCGCAACCCUUAUCGUUAGUUGCCGGCGGGUAAUGCCGGGAACUCUAACGAAACUGCCGGUGUAAACCGUGAGGAAGGUGGGGAUGACGUCAAAUCAGCACGGCCCUUAUGUCCAGGGCUACACACGUGUUACAAUGGCCGGUACAGAGGGCAGCUACCCGGAGACAGGAUGCGAAUCUCAAAAGCCGGUCUCAGUUCGGAUCGGAGUCUGCAACUCGACUCCGUGAAGCUGGAUUCGCUAGUAAUACGCGCAUCAGCCAUGGCGCGGUGAAUACGUUCCCGGGCCUUGUACCAUAUGCGUAUUCCUACGGGAGGCAGCAGUGAGGAAUAUUGGUCAAUGGGCGUAAGCCUGAACCAGCCAUCCCGCGUGAAGGAAGAAGGCGCUAUGCGUCGUAAACUUCUUUUCCAGAAAAAGAAAACCCCCGACGUGUCGGGGCUUGCCGGUACUCUGGGAAUAAGCAUCGGCUAACUCCGUGCCAGCAGCCGCGGUAAUACGGAGGAUGCGAGCGUUAUCCGGAUUUAUUGGGUUUAAAGGGUGCGUAGGCGGAUUAAUAAGUCAGUGGUGAAAACCUUCAGCUUAACUGGAGACUUGCCAUUGAUACUGUUAGUCUUGAGUACGGUCAAGGUAGGCGGAAUGUGUAAUGUAGCGGUGAAAUGCUUAGAUAUUACACAGAACACCGAUUGCGAAGGCAGCUUACUGGGCCAUUACUGACGCUGAGGCACGAAAGCGUGGGGAGCGAACAGGAUUAGAUACCCUGGUAGUCCACGCCGUAAACGAUGAUC
RNAcentral lists this ribosomal RNA (976 nucleotides) under uncultured bacterium. RNAcentral's name for it is "bacterial SSU rRNA". The stretch from base 1 to 486 matches the Rfam family "Bacterial small subunit ribosomal RNA", at positions 902 to 1387 of the family's 1533-position model. The record is from RNAcentral.